CAGCGGACUGGUCCGGCUGCUCAGCUAGGCAGCCAGCGUCCGUGCCCGCAACGCGGUUGCCUUCCCCUGGGCUGGAGAGUGGGGACGUCCCUCCCCCGCCCCCAGGCGUCCCUAGGGUCGGCGCCAGAGCCCUGGAGCCCCGGAGACUUUCUCUGGAGGAAGGCGAGGCGGGCUCUGGGUCCUCUCCCAGCCAGGCCGAGCUUAGCAUGUGGAGGUGGCGCGGGAGCGCGGGCAUGGACCAAGGGAAGGGGGACCCCCAAACCGCACUGGUGCUUUCCUUUCCCUCCACUCGCGCCGUAGCCCUCCCCAAAUUGCCCGUCUCCGGUAGGACUGACUCUGCCUGCCUGGCCUCUCAGCUACCAACUUUGCCCGAAAUCUAGAUCCCAGACCUGACCGACAUCAAGCAAGCAAACAUUUCUUCAACUCACAAGAGACAUCAGUUCAGGUCACAGAUACUUUUGCCAGAAAUAAUGGAGCAGUCUCUCCCUAACCUCCCACAUUGCACAGCUGCUGAUGAGCCUUGUAAUUAAUGAAAAUUUGCCAACAGUUGCACACUCAUUGACGUUCUGAGCUUAUUGAAAAAAGCAGCCUCACUUUUAUUGUUUCAAUGCUGAAAGCUUGACCUAGAAGGAUGGUUGAAAUCUCAGAUGCCUGUAGGAGCCAAAGAAGGAAAACAAGCAAAGCUUCUCAGUAUUAGAAAUCACUAAUACUGAGGGAGAGGCAGAAAAGAUGCUCAUGAAGGUGCUGAUCAAGAGAAGACAAGAUUCAUUUCUGUUUGUUCAGUAGAAUGUGUCAUCUCAUUUGGUUAUGCAUGUUUUCAGUCAUUAAUAUUUGGCAAUCAAAAUCACAAGCUUUCUGGAAAUCUAGUCAAUUUAAAAUUUUAGUAGCUGUAAAGAAUAGAACUGGUGCAUAUAGGCAUAUGAGACUAACACCCAUAUAUAUUUCUUUGUGCAUUCAUUACUUAUUCACCUAAUACAAAAGUCAUGGGCACCAAGUGAGCAUGCCAGGAAGAAUUCUUAGCACUGAGGGCACAGAUAGGAAGCAUGGAAAAUUCCUGCCUUCCUGAUGAUUACAUUUUAACUGGGGAGGCAGAAAAAAGAAAGAAAGAAGGAAAAACGAAAGAAAGAAAGAAAGAAGGAAGGAAAGAAAGAAAGAAAGAAAGAAAGAAAGAAAGAAUGAAAGAAAGAAAGAAAGAGAAAGGAAAGAACGAAUUUCAGUGAAUGUUAAAUUCUAUGAAGAACAUAAUGUGAGCUAGUUAGAGUAUGGAGGAAAGUUGCAACUGGAUUAUUUAGACAGAAAGGCUUCUCUGAGAAAGUUUUCAUGUGCAUGUAUCAAUAAUGUAUAUGCUACCUGCAUUUAUGUAAGCAUUUAUUUCUUAAUAUGCAUUUGUGUUUGCAAUGCCUUGCAUGAUGUUUAGCAUAAAAUGAAAGAAAAAUGCUCUUUGUCAUUGGAGAUGGAAGGCAUCUAGCGUCUUGAAAAGUCUAUGCACAGAUGUAGGGGCCUAUAUGUAAAGGCUGUUGAUAUUAUUGUUUUCCCAAAUAUAACAUAGACAACACAACAGCCUGAUAUUAUAAAAUGAUUUAUUACAAAGGUUCGGAUAUAAAUCCCUCCAGAGUCCUUUCUAAACAUUUUCUUCAAAAAUUGUUACUUCUUCUGUAAUAAUAAUUUAUACAUAUUUUUGUUAUAAUGCAUCCCACAUCACAUUGGCAUCAGUUAUACACAAGUAUGUAUUUAUUUCUAGAUUUUGCUCCUUGACAGUGUUUUUCCUUUAACGUCUUUUUAUUUCCAAGCGAAUCAGAUUUGUUUUGAGAGAAGUGUGUGAUAGUGAGGAUUUUCCUAUAUUUCAGUUACUAUGUUCUGACCUGAUUACAUGGGAAAUUUUCACUUACACGUUGAUGUUCUAAGAGAAAAAUACUGUCUUUAAGUGGCAGAGCUGAAUUCCAAAGUCCAGCAAAUCAGCUAGCUGACUUGUGCUUAUUGCUCAUAGAAAACAUUGUAGCUAAAUUGAUUAGCAAUGACAACACUACUGCUGCUGUUGGAAAUAUCUACCAUUUUUCCAGCUUUCUCCAGUCUUAGCUAUUGGCCACUACUCACAUCGUUCUAUCAAAUCCUGACAACCGCCCUAUCAGGUAGAUGUUUAUUGACCCACUUCAUAAAUGUGUAAUUGAAACUCAGAAUAAAAAACUGCCUGGUCACUAACCUUGUCAUAGAUUGUCAUAAUAUUAUGUGUGCUAAGUUAUAUCCAGUUUAUUACAUAUAAUAAAAAUAAAAUUUCAAAU
This is a long non-coding RNA of Callithrix jacchus (white-tufted-ear marmoset), 2279 nucleotides long. RefSeq lists it as uncharacterized. The record is from RefSeq and is a predicted model, not a curated record. Lineage: Eukaryota; Metazoa; Chordata; Mammalia; Primates; Cebidae.